RNAcentral lists this ribosomal RNA (250 nucleotides) under uncultured bacterium. Its description in RNAcentral is "partial 16S ribosomal RNA". It matches the Rfam family "Bacterial small subunit ribosomal RNA", at positions 524 to 773 of the family's 1533-position model. The record is from RNAcentral.
UACGGGGGGGGCAAGCGUUGUUCGGAAUUACUGGGCGUAAAGGGCUCGUAGGCGGCCAACUAAGUCGGACGUGAAAUCCCUCAGCUUAACUGGGGAACUGCGUCCGAUACUGGAUGGCUUGGAUUCGGGAGAGGAAUGCGGAAUUCCAGGUGUAGCGGUGAAAUGCGUAGAUAUCUGGAGGAACACCGGUGGCGAAGGCGGCAUUCUGGACCGAUAUUGACGCUGAGGAGCGAAAGCCAGGGGAGCAAAC